GACGAACGCUGGCGGCGUGCUUAACACAUGCAAGUCGAGCGGUAAGGCCCUUUCGGGGUACACGAGCGGCGAACGGGUGAGUAACACGUGGGUGACCUGCCUUUAGCUCUGGGAUAAGCCUGGGAAACUGGGUCUAAUACCGGAUAUGACUCCGCGGUGCAUGCUGUGGGGUGGAAAGCCUUGUGCGGCUGGAGAUGGGCCCGCGGCCUAUCAGCUUGUUGGUGGGGUGAUGGCCUACCAAGGCGA
RNAcentral lists this ribosomal RNA (246 nucleotides) under uncultured Actinomycetes bacterium. RNAcentral's name for it is "uncultured actinobacterium partial 16S ribosomal RNA". It matches the Rfam family "Bacterial small subunit ribosomal RNA", at positions 28 to 276 of the family's 1533-position model. The record is from RNAcentral. Lineage: Bacteria; Bacillati; Actinomycetota; Actinomycetes.